GAUGAACGCUGGCGGCGUGCCUAAUACAUGCAAGUCGAGCGAACGGACGAGAAGCUUGCUUCUCUGAUGUUAGAGUCGGACGGGUGAGUAACACUUGGAUAACCUACCUAUAAGACUGGGAUAACUUCGGGAAACCGUAGCUAAUACCGGAUAAUAUUUUUAUCCGCAUGGUUCAAAAGUGAAAGACGGUCUUUCUGUCACUUAUAGAUGGAUCCGCGCUGCAUUAGCUAGUUGGUAAGGUAACGGCUUACCAAGGCAACGAUGCAUAGCCGACCUGAGAGGGGGAUCGGCCACACUGGAACUGAGACACGGUCCAGACUCCUACGGGAGGCAGCAGUAGGGAAUCUUCCGCAAUGGGCGAAAGCCUGACGGAGCAACGCCGCGUGAGUGAUGAAGGUCUUCGGAUCGUAAAACUCUGUUAUUAGGGAAGAACAUAUGUGUAAGUAACUGUGCACAUCUUGACGGUACCUAAUCAGAAAGCCACGGCUAACUACGUG
This 497-nucleotide ribosomal RNA is filed under the name uncultured bacterium. Its description in RNAcentral is "partial 16S ribosomal RNA". It matches the Rfam family "Bacterial small subunit ribosomal RNA", at positions 28 to 507 of the family's 1533-position model. The record is from RNAcentral.